This 731-nucleotide ribosomal RNA is filed under the name uncultured bacterium. RNAcentral's name for it is "bacterial SSU rRNA". It matches the Rfam family "Bacterial small subunit ribosomal RNA", at positions 771 to 1501 of the family's 1533-position model. The record is from RNAcentral.
AACAGGAUUUGAUACCCUGGUAGUCCACGCUGUAAACGAUGUCGACUUGGAGGUUGUGCCCUUGAGGCGUGGCUUCCGGAGCUAACGCGUUAAGUCGACCGCCUGGGGAGUACGGCCGCAAGGUUAAAACUCAAAUGAAUUGACGGGGGCCCGCACAAGCGGUGGAGCAUGUGGUUUAAUUCGAUGCAACGCGAAGAACCUUACCUACUCUUGACAUCCAGAGAAUUUGCUAGAGAUAGCUUAGUGCCUUCGGGAACUCUGAGACAGGUGCUGCAUGGCUGUCGUCAGCUCGUGUUGUGAAAUGUUGGGUUAAGUCCCGCAACGAGCGCAACCCUUAUCCUUUGUUGCCAGCACGUAAUGGUGGGAACUCAAAGGAGACUGCCGGUGAUAAACCGGAGGAAGGUGGGGAUGACGUCAAGUCAUCAUGGCCCUUACGAGUAGGGCUACACACGUGCUACAAUGGCAUAUACAAAGAGAAGCGAACUCGCGAGAGCAAGCGGACCUCAUAAAGUAUGUCGUAGUCCGGAUUGGAGUCUGCAACUCGACUCCAUGAAGUCGGAAUCGCUAGUAAUCGUAGAUCAGAAUGCUACGGUGAAUACGUUCCCGGGCCUUGUACACACCGCCCGUCACACCAUGGGAGUGGGUUGCAAAAGAAGUAGGUAGCUUAACCUUCGGGAGGGCGCUUACCACUUUGUGAUUCAUGACUGGGGUGAAGUCGUAACAAGGUAACC